GGAAAGAUGCCAGAGUGGUUGAAUGGAACAGUCUCGAAAACUGUCUUAGUCGCAAGGCUAACGAGGGUUCGAAUCCCUCUCUUUCCG
RNAcentral lists this transfer RNA (87 nucleotides) under Chitinophagales bacterium. RNAcentral's name for it is "tRNA-Ser". It matches the Rfam family "tRNA". From Rfam's summary of the family: Transfer RNA (tRNA) molecules are approximately 80 nucleotides in length. Their secondary structure includes four short double-helical elements and three loops (D, anti-codon, and T loops). The record is from RNAcentral. Lineage: Bacteria; Pseudomonadati; Bacteroidota; Chitinophagia; Chitinophagales. RNAcentral also lists the same sequence under 1 other name.